AACGAACGCUGGCGGCAUGCCUAACACAUGCAAGUCGAACGAGACCUUCUGGUCUAGUGGCGCACGGGUGCGUAACGCGUGGGAACCUGCCCUUAGGUUCGGAAUAACUUCCCGAAUGGGGUGCUAAUACCGGAUAAUGUCUUCGGCCCAAUGAUUGAUCGCCAUUGGUUGGGGGCGCGUUGGAUUAGCUAGUUGGUAGUGUAAAAGCCUACCAAGGCUACGAUCCAUAGCUGGGCUGAGAGGAUGAUCAGCCACACUGGGACUGAGACACGGCCCAGACUGCUACGGGAGGCAGCAGUGGGGUAUACUGGGCGAUGGGCGCAAGCGUGAUGCAGCAAUGCCGCGUGAGUGAUCAAGGCGUUAGGGUUGUAAAGCCCUUUUGCCCGGGAUGAUAAUGACAGUACCGGGAGAAUAAGCUCCGGCUAACUACGUG
This 433-nucleotide ribosomal RNA is filed under the name uncultured bacterium. RNAcentral's name for it is "partial 16S ribosomal RNA". It matches the Rfam family "Bacterial small subunit ribosomal RNA", at positions 29 to 507 of the family's 1533-position model. The record is from RNAcentral.